GUCUACGGCCAUACCACCCUGAACACGCCCAAUCUCGUCUGAUCUCGGAAGCUAAGCAGGGUCGGCCUGGUUAGUAUUUGGAUGGGAGGAAGCAGAGUCACAAUCGAAA
Molecule: ribosomal RNA, 109 nt
Filed under: Echinops telfairi (small Madagascar hedgehog)
Lineage: Eukaryota; Metazoa; Chordata; Mammalia; Afrosoricida; Tenrecidae
Source: RNAcentral